This 1265-nucleotide long non-coding RNA is filed under the name Salmo trutta (river trout). RNAcentral's name for it is "lncRNA (ENSSTUG00000030467.1)". Lineage: Eukaryota; Metazoa; Chordata; Actinopteri; Salmoniformes; Salmonidae. The record is from RNAcentral.
UUCAGCUUGCUCUUUGUUCAAUUCAGCUUGCUCUUUGUUCUAUUCAGCUUGCUCUUUGUUCUCUUCAGCUUGCUCUUUGUUCUAUUCAGCUUGUUCUAUUCAGCUUGCUCUUUGUUCUAUUCAGCUUGUUCUAUUCAGCUUGUUCUUUGUUCUAUUCAGCUUGCUCUUUGUUCUAUUCAGCUUGCUCUUUGUUCUAUUCAGCUUGUUCUUUGUUCUCUUCAGCUUGCUCUUUGUUCUAUUCAGCUUGUUCUAUUCAGCUUGCUCUUUGUUCUAUUCAGCUUGCUCUUUGUUCUAUUCAGCUUGCUCUUUGUUCUAUUCAGCUUGUUCUUUGUUCUCUUCAGCUUGUUCUUUGUUCUAUUCAGCUUGUUCUAUUCAGCUUGCUCUUUGUUCUAUUCAGCUUGUUCUCUUCAGCUUGUUCUAUUCAGCUUGCUCUUUGUUCUAUUCAGCUUGCUCUUUGUUCUCUUCAGCUUGCUCUUUGUUCUAUUCAGCUUGCUCUUUGUUCUAUUCAGCUUGUUCUCUUCAGCUUGUUCUAUUCAGCUUGCUCUUUGUUCUAUUCAGCUUGCUCUUUGUUCUAUUCAGCUUGCUCUUUGUUCUAUUCAGCUUGUUCUUUGAUCUAUUCAAUUUGUUCUUUGUUUUCUAUUCAGCUGGUUCUAUUCAGCUUGUUCUAUUCAGAUUGCUCUUUGUUCUAUUCAGCUGGUUCUAUUCAGCAUGUUCUAUUCAGCUUGCUCUUUGUUCUAUUCAGCUUGUUCUAUUCAGCUUGCUCUUUGUUCUAUUCAGCUUGUUCUUUGUUCUAUUCAGCUUGUUCUUUGAUCUAUUCAGCUUGUUCUUUGAUCUAUUCAGCUUGUUCUUUGAUCUAUUCAGCUUGUUCUUUGAUCUAUUCAGAUUGCUCUUUGUUCUAUUCAGCUUGUUCUUUGAUCUAUUCAACUUGUUCUUUGAUCUAUUCAACUUGUUCUUUGAUCUAUUCAGCUUGCUCUUUGUUCUGUUCAGCUUGUUCUUUGAUCUAUUCAGCUUGUUCUUUGAUCUAUUCAGCUUGUUAUUUGUUCUUGUCAGCUUGUUCUUUGAUCUAUUCAGCUUGUUCUUUGAUCUAUUCAGCUUGUUCUAUUCAGCUUGUUCUAUUCAGCUUGUUCUUUGAUCUGUUCAGCUUGUUUUAUUCAGCUUGUUCUUUGAUCUAUUCAGCUUGUUCUUUGAUCUAUUCAGCUUGUUCUUUGAUCUAUUCAGAUUGUUCUAUUCAGCUUGUUCUUUUUUCUAUUCAUCUUGUUCUUUGA